Molecule: ribosomal RNA, 253 nt
Filed under: uncultured bacterium
Lineage: Bacteria
Description: partial 16S ribosomal RNA
Rfam family: Bacterial small subunit ribosomal RNA
Source: RNAcentral
UACGAAGGGGGCGAGCGUUGUUCGGAAUUACUGGGCGUAAAGCGUGCGCAGGCGGUUGUGCAAGACAGAUGUGAAAUCCCCGGGCUUAACCUGGGAAUUGCAUUUGUGACUGCAAGGCUUGAGUGCGGCAGAGGAGACUGGAAUUCCUGGUGUAGCAGUGAAAUGCGUAGAUAUCAGGAGGAACACCGGUGGCGAAGGCGGGUCUCUGGGCCGAUACUGACGCUGAGGAGCGAAAGCGUGGGGAGCGAACAGG